This 236-nucleotide unclassified non-coding RNA is filed under the name Hevea brasiliensis (rubber tree). The record is from RNAcentral. Lineage: Eukaryota; Viridiplantae; Streptophyta; Magnoliopsida; Malpighiales; Euphorbiaceae.
CCAAAGGGAAGCGAUUGCGAUUGGUAGCGAGCGUACAGGGAGAGAGGGAAGGAAGAAAGAAGAGGAGCAGCAAUGGAGUUUAGAUUCAGAUUGAAAACUACUUAAUAGAAGAAAAAACAUCAUGAUCCCCUCAGUUUUUCAAUAUCCACACGCUCCUCCUUUUGGCCGCUUCGAAUACUCUUCUCUUUUACCUUCUUCAACCCUCUGUGUCCAUCGCCGCCUCCGCCGUCGCUUCC